GUCCACAGCCAUGCCACCCUGAACUUGCCCGAUCUCAUCUGAUCUCGGAAGUUAAGCAGGGCCGGGCCUGAUUAGUACUUGUAUGGGAACUCAUCUAGAAAUACCAGGUGCUGUAGGCA
Molecule: ribosomal RNA, 119 nt
Filed under: Pteropus alecto (black flying fox)
Lineage: Eukaryota; Metazoa; Chordata; Mammalia; Chiroptera; Pteropodidae
Source: RNAcentral